Non-coding RNA from Castor canadensis (American beaver), 345 nucleotides. Lineage: Eukaryota; Metazoa; Chordata; Mammalia; Rodentia; Castoridae. The record is from RefSeq and is a predicted model, not a curated record.
CCAUUUUUCAGAUGAGAACACUGAGGCUCGGAGAAGUUAACUGUCCUAUGGUCAUAUAGCCAGCAUACCUUGGAGCUGGAUUAAAACCAGAUGUGUCAGAUACUUUCUACUACCACAGUGCUGUCUUUGUGAAUAGCAGUUUCAUUUCAGUAUAGAUGACCAUGCAGCCUGCAAUUCAAGUUUGGUUUGGGGAAGAUCUGCCUCUAAGCCCACGGAGUCCUCUGACACCCAGACACGGACCAGGACUGGCUGAUGUUUGUCAGUAUGAUGAGUGGAUAGCUGUGAGGCAUAAGGCCACUUUGCUGCCCAUGCAAGAAGAUCUGUCUAUUUGGUUAUCUGGCUUAU